This 253-nucleotide ribosomal RNA is filed under the name uncultured bacterium. RNAcentral's name for it is "partial 16S ribosomal RNA". It matches the Rfam family "Bacterial small subunit ribosomal RNA", at positions 524 to 776 of the family's 1533-position model. The record is from RNAcentral.
UACAGAGGGGGCAAGCGUUAUUCGGAAUUAUUGGGCGUAAAGGGCUCGUAGGCGGCCAACUAAGUCGGACGUGAAAUCCCCAGGCUCAACCUGGGAACUGCGUCUGAUACUGGAUGGCUUGAAUCCGGGAGAGGGAUGCAGAAUUCCUGGUGUAGCGGUGAAAUGCGCAGAUAUCAGGAAGAACACCCGUGGCGAAGGCGGUUCUCUGGGACGGUACUGACGCUGAGACGCGAAAGCGUGGGGAGCGAACAGG